UACGUAGGGGCAAGCGUUGUCCGGAUUAUUGGCGUAAAGAGCGUGUAGGCGGCCAGGUAGGUCUGCUGUGAAAACUCGAGGCUUAACCUCGAGAUGUCGGCGGAAACCAUCUGGCUAGAGUCCGGAAGAGGAGAAUGGAAUUCCCGGUGUAGCGGUGAAAUGCGCAGAUAUCGGGAAGAACACCCGUGGCGAAGGCGGUUCUCUGGGACGGUACUGACGCUGAGACGCGAAAGCGUGGGGAGCGAACAGG
RNAcentral lists this ribosomal RNA (250 nucleotides) under uncultured bacterium. RNAcentral's name for it is "partial 16S ribosomal RNA". It matches the Rfam family "Bacterial small subunit ribosomal RNA", at positions 524 to 776 of the family's 1533-position model. The record is from RNAcentral.